GCAGCAGUGGGUCGGAAGCGGAAUUCUCGCCUUCUGAGUGGGAGACCUGGGUUUGAUUCCCGGCUGGUGCA
RNAcentral lists this transfer RNA (71 nucleotides) under Loxodonta africana (African savanna elephant). It matches the Rfam family "tRNA". Rfam says of the family: Transfer RNA (tRNA) molecules are approximately 80 nucleotides in length. Their secondary structure includes four short double-helical elements and three loops (D, anti-codon, and T loops). Further hydrogen bonds mediate the characteristic L-shaped molecular structure. tRNAs have two regions of fundamental functional importance: the anti-codon, which is responsible for specific mRNA codon recognition, and the 3' end, to which the tRNAs corresponding amino acid is attached (by aminoacyl-tRNA synthetases). tRNAs cope with the degeneracy of the genetic code in two manners: having more than one tRNA (with a specific anti-codon) for a particular amino acid; and 'wobble' base-pairing, i.e. permitting non-standard base-pairing at the 3rd anti-codon position. The record is from Rfam by way of RNAcentral. Lineage: Eukaryota; Metazoa; Chordata; Mammalia; Proboscidea; Elephantidae.